RNAcentral lists this ribosomal RNA (491 nucleotides) under uncultured bacterium. RNAcentral's name for it is "partial 16S ribosomal RNA". It matches the Rfam family "Bacterial small subunit ribosomal RNA", at positions 29 to 506 of the family's 1533-position model. The record is from RNAcentral.
AGUGAACGCUGGCGGUAGGCCUAACACAUGCAAGUCGAACGGCAGCACAGUAAGAGCUUGCUCUUACGGGUGGCGAGUGGCGGACGGGUGAGGAAUACAUCGGAAUCUACUUUUUCGUGGGGGAUAACGUAGGGAAACUUACGCUAAUACCGCAUACGACCUACGGGUGAAAGCAGGGGAUCUUCGGACCUUGCGCGAUUGAAUGAGCCGAUGUCGGAUUAGCUAGUUGGCGGGGUAAAGGCCCACCAAGGCGACGAUCCGUAGCUGGUCUGAGAGGAUGAUCAGCCACACUGGACCUGAGACACGGUCCAGACGCCUACGGGAGGCAGCAGUGGGGAAUAUUGGACAAUGGGCGCAAGCCUGAUCCAGCCAUACCGCGUGGGUGAAGAAGGCCUUCGGGUUGUAAAGCCCUUUUGUUGGGAAAGAAAAGCAGCAGGUUAAUACCCCGCUGUUCUGACGGUACCCAAAGAAUAAGCACCGGCUAACUUCGU